CCAUGACUUCCGGCCCCUGGCCGUCCGCGCCGCGGGAUGACGUGCGCCCCGCCCACCCCUACUGCGUCGCACUUCCGGAGCAGCGCAGGUGCGAGACUUCUGCUGUCGCGGGAAGCAGCGGAGGCGUUAGGGGCGUGAUCGCGAGGCGCUCGGUGUUUAGCGACGCGGUGCUAUGGAGAAGCGCGGCGGGGGCGGGAAGGUGGCCGCCGGCCCGGACAAGCCGCCGCCGCUUCGGAAAGAGAGGAGGCCCAGCAUGUUCGACAAGGAGGCAGUAACAACAAGAAUCCUCAAAAGAAGUCAUGGCAGUGUUUGAAGUUCUGAUGACAGCUCUUUGGUGUCUACAUUUUACAGAGGAAAGAACUAAAGGAGUACAAAUAAACAGGCCAAGUUCAGAGCAAGACUAAAAAUCUUAAUCUGUUGGACUUUAAAUUUCAUGCUCCCAGAAACUCUGCUGUAUUACCUGGCAAUAAGUGUAAGUAACAGGUCACCAGCAGUAAACAAAAUUCUGUAUUUUGAAGCAGACAAACUUGCCUUCUUAAAAAUUAAUGCCUACUAAAGGUCAGAAUCUAAAGGGAGGCACACAGGUACACUUGGUAUACAGGCCGACAUCCGGGACCGAGGCAGUUCUCGCUUAUUUGAUAAGGAUAUGAUCGAUCAUAGCUGUCUAAAAUCUAGGCUUCUAGAAGUAAGAAAUUUGCAUAGCAAUAAUUGAGAAGAAACAGAAAGGAUCCCACAAAUGCUCACUAAAUGUGCCUGAGGGCAGUUAAGUACACCAGUGAGUCAGUUCAGACUUUCCCAAGUUCCUGAACAUAGAAAAAAUGAGGACACACGGUUAAAUCAAUGUAAAACACUUUUACCUGUCCUGCAUCCAUUUUUUUCCUUCCAGGAAUCCAUCUCAAUUUUCUUUUGGAGAAUUAACUCAUCCUCCAUUAGAUAGGAGUCUUGGUGGGACUGUCAGUCACUUUCCUUAGCUUUGUGGUGUGGAUGAGAGCAAAAUUAAGCUAAUUAGAUGACCUCUUCCUGGAAUAACACAAAUGGCUGAGAUUAAUUCAAGUUGAGGAUGUCACAUUGAAGAGCCUCACAUGUGGUUCUUCAGCCUUCUCUUCCAUUCCCUGAGCUACCCCAUAGCUUUCCAACUAAUUAUAUUUUUGCUUAACUAGAAUCAGUUCCUAUGGCUUUCAACCAAAAUGCCCAAAACCUUAAACAGAUAAUUAAAAACUGAAUGGUUCAUCUCACUUGGGUACAUGCAUUUGAAAAUCUUAAAUACUUGCAAAUAGCAUGUAGAAGUACAUUAAUGUACAUAGCAUCCCAUGACCAAACUCAGUUUAUUCCAGGAUUAUAAGUAGACUCAAUAUAAGGAAAUGCCAUUAUCAGUAGGUUAAGUCUUUAAACUCAGGUUUUAGGAAAUGUCAAAAAAUUGAUUAUAUUUAAAAUCUAGUCCUAGUUUUUAGAAGUCAAAAGGAUUCUUAGUAAAGGGAUAAAAUGCUCUUCAUACAGAGCAUACUAAAUCACAAGGCCAAUAUUAUAUACAAGGAAGAAAUGGUAGAGAUGCGAGAUUUCAGCAUAUUAGAAUCUCUUAUUUUUAAAUGACACAUAAAUGCCCUAUUCCAAAGGGAGUCAUUUUAGUUGUGAGCCACUGUCAAUGGUGUACUGUAGUUGCAUCACUUGAACAUAUUGUGAGGAAAAAGAUUACCCUAAAGGAGCAUUUUCUUGAUAAAGAAUUUGGUUUUAAGAGAUUUGGGGAGCUAAUGAGGCCUUUGUUCCGCAACUAAAAACAGUCUGACAAAUGAUCAAAAUGUCCGAUUUGUUUCUGAUGAAGGACUUCUACUUGGAGCCACCAUGGAGUAACUCCAAUCAGAAAUUCCUGGAAAUAACACAAUUCAUGAAACAUUUGUUUCCACUGGUUAGAUGUAAAGCAAGUCAGGAUAGUGAUACUGAGAGUGGAGAGACAGGAAAGGUGAGCACUAAGAGUCCCCCUAACUUCCUGCUGGGUAGCAUAUUCCAGCCCACACCUUAGGGAGAGGUCUCACUUGGGUACCAGGGUGGGUCAAGGUGGUAUGAGUCUGCAGAGUAUUAUGAGAGGAGAGAGAUGUACAGAUAGUUCCAGAGAUGGGCGGAUAAUUUUCCUCAUGUCUUCAAGUUAGUGCAUCACUGUGUCUGGUAAGAAACCCCCUCUUGCCAGAGAAAGAAUCACACAAAAGGACAAAAACGUCACUGGAUUCACAAACCUGUUUUUUUCCACCAGUAAGAGUAGAAAACCAUGUAAAUCACAGGGCAUUGCUUAAAGUGCCAAGAAGUGUAUUGUCUCCGUGACUGGGGUGGGGGGUGCCCUAUACGAGAUAUCUCUAGGCCGGCCUAUCAAAGCUUAAAAACGGGCCUCGAGAAUUAACCUGUUUCCAAGUGACUACGUUUUAAAGCUGAAGAAUAUAAGAAUACAAAAACAUAUAGCAAAUAGGAAAGGUUAAAUUCACAAUGUUUGAUGUCCAAUUAAAUAUUAGCAGACCUACAAAGAAAGGAAAACUCAAUCCAAAAUGAGAAGAAACAAUAAAAACAACCAGAAAUGAUUAAAAGAUAGUGUAAAAGGACACUAAAGUAGUUAUAAAAGGUAUUGUAUUAGACUCAUUUUCAGCAAGUUAAGGCAGUUAUAUAACAGUAUAAAAGUUACUAUAUUCUGUAUUUUCAAGCAUGUAGAGAAAAGAUUAAGCAUGUUAAAUCCAAAUCAAAUUUCUACAAAGUACAAUGUCAGAGAUGUAAAAUUAAUUGAAUGGAAUUAGCAGAUUCAGCGCUGCAGAACAAAGAUUUAGUGAAUUUAGAGACAGCCAGCGAAAGUAAACCUAAAAAAAUUAGGAGACAUCAUUGAACUAUAGGAAAAUUUCAGGCAAAACAUUUAUUCUUCAGUUUUGCAUCACAAAGUGAGAAGAAGAUAAGGGACAAAAAAUAUUUAGAGAAAUAAUGGAUGAGAAAUUUCCAAACUUCAUUAAAAGCUAUAAAACCAUGAAUCCAAGAAGUUCAAUGAACUUCAAGCACAAAAAAUGAAGAAAAUUACGCUGAGACAUAAUAGUCAAACUGCUUAAAAUAAACAUUUUAAAGUUUAAAGACAAGUAGGAAAAAAACAUGAGAACAAAGUUAAGUAAAUAGGAACAAAGAUGAAAUGACAGUAGACUUAUCAGAAACCAUACAAGCCAAAAGACACAGGCAUCUUUACUGAAAGAUACCUUAAAGUAACUUAAAAGGGGAAAACCCGUCAGCCAGACUCCUAUACUCAGUAAAAAUGUCUUUCAAAAACAAAGGCAAAAUAAUGAGCUUUUCAGAAAUAAAAGCUAAAAGAAUUCAUCACAAAGCUACUAUUAGAAAUGUUUAGGUCCUUAAAGCAAAAAAAAAUAUGAUACAAGAUGUAAAUUAGACAAAGCACUGAGAAUGAUAA
This is an RNA transcript of Manis pentadactyla (Chinese pangolin), 3424 nucleotides long. It is a transcript of the gene named dynein light chain Tctex-type 2, with no coding region annotated. NCBI's taxonomy places the organism in Eukaryota, Metazoa, Chordata, Mammalia, Pholidota, Manidae. The transcript has 2 exons. The record is from RefSeq and is a predicted model, not a curated record.